RNAcentral lists this ribosomal RNA (253 nucleotides) under uncultured bacterium. RNAcentral's name for it is "partial 16S ribosomal RNA". It matches the Rfam family "Bacterial small subunit ribosomal RNA", at positions 524 to 776 of the family's 1533-position model. The record is from RNAcentral.
UACAUGGGGUGCAGACGUUGCUCGGAAUUAUUGGGCGUAAAGCGCACGUAGGCGGUUUGUUAAGUCGGAUGUGAAAUCCCUCGGCUCAACUGAGGAAGUGCAUCCGAAACUGGCAAGCUUGAGUACGAAAGAGGGUCGCGGAAUUCCCGGUGUAGAGGUGAAAUUCGUAGAUAUCGGGAGGAACACCGGUGGCGAAGGCGGCGACCUGGGUCGAUACUGACGCUGAGGUGCGAAAGCGUGGGGAGCGAACAGG